AGUGGGGAAUAUUGCACAAUGGAGGAAACUCUGAUGCAGCAACGCCGCGUGGAGGAUGACACUUUUCGGAGCGUAAACUCCUUUUAUAUAGGAAGAUAAUGACGGUACUAUAUGAAUAAGCACCGGCUAACUCCGUGCCAGCAGCCGCGGUAAUACGGAGGGUGCAAGCGUUACUCGGAAUCACUGGGCGUAAAGAGCGUGUAGGCGGGUUAAUAAGUCAGAUGUGAAAGCCAAUGGCUCAACCAUUGAACUGCAUUUGAAACUGUUAAUCUAGAAUAUGGGAGAGGUAGAUGGAAUUUCUGGUGUAGGGGUAAAAUCCGUAGAGAUCAGAAGGAAUACCGAUUGCGAAGGCGAUCUACUGGAACAUUAUUGACGCUGAGACGCGAAAGCGUGGGGAGCAAA
This 402-nucleotide ribosomal RNA is filed under the name uncultured Arcobacter sp. Its description in RNAcentral is "bacterial SSU rRNA". It matches the Rfam family "Bacterial small subunit ribosomal RNA", at positions 353 to 772 of the family's 1533-position model. Lineage: Bacteria; Pseudomonadati; Campylobacterota; Epsilonproteobacteria; Campylobacterales; Arcobacteraceae. The record is from RNAcentral.